This 72-nucleotide transfer RNA is filed under the name Chelonia mydas (Green sea turtle). It matches the Rfam family "tRNA". From Rfam's summary of the family: Transfer RNA (tRNA) molecules are approximately 80 nucleotides in length. Their secondary structure includes four short double-helical elements and three loops (D, anti-codon, and T loops). The record is from Rfam by way of RNAcentral. Lineage: Eukaryota; Metazoa; Chordata; Testudines; Cheloniidae.
GGCAGUGUAGCACAAUGGAUAGAGCCCUGAACUGGAACUCACGAGAGCUAGGUUCUAUUCCUAGCUCUGCCA